GAUCAUAAAUAGUCCGUAAGGUCACAGUUUACUCCCAAUAACCCAUAACUUUGCUCAAAGCAUUUCAUCAAAAAAAACUCCGAAGGAUUCUGGUGAACAAAUAAACGAUUAACAUUACUUUUGAAAAAAAACUACUGUCAUUUAACUCUUUGAGGACCGGCCAUUUUUGAAGCUAUCAAGCAAAUUCUCUUUACACUUCCACGAUGGUUCAAGGGUGCCUACACUUCGCCUAUGGAUAUCUUGACACAAACGGAUUUGGGAUUUUUAAGCACUUGGCCGUGUUUUAUUUCGGAGAAAGGCCACGCGUUUAUUUCUGGUGUGAAAGAGUUAAAUGCGGUUCUGAGCGGAGGUUCCUGUUAACUUGCGGCAGCAUAACUCAGACUGGGGGACUGAGGGUCAAGGACAAGAAUUGGAGUUGUUUCCCAACUAGCUCUGGAAGGAAGCCAGCACCCUGAUGCUCAGUUCGUUUCCCAGAACGUGGUGCCUGGACAGGACCAGCCGCUCGCUGGUUGGCCAGACUCGGCCCUCUCCAAGACAGGCAUUUUCGCCCACAGAACUGCCGCUCUCUGGAUGUCUUUGCCCUUACUCCAUUCUCUGUAAACCCUGGAGACCAUUGAGCAUGAAAAUCCCAGGAGAUCAGCGGUCAAACAACCCGGUCUGCAAUAAACAAUCCAUGGCUAUUGUCGCUUCCCCAUUCUGAUGUUUGGCCUGAGCAACAACUGAACCCCGUCUACUGCCUUCGUCACUGGUUGACAAGCCACUACAAUCCUCAAUUCUCCCCUUAUUUUUCCGUUCCUCAGAAACCUACCAUUUGCCUUCCUCCACACAACUCUUAUCACCCAGUACCACCUCCCAUUCACUGCCUCCAUCUUCCUCAUCGCUUCCGGACACCUCUACCCCACAAACCUCGACCGAAACCCUCUAUCCGAAUCCACACAGUUGCAACAGGAUCACUGUGCUUCGUGGGCCCAAAUGAAUCCCUUGACUGUGGCUGCAUGCUUUUACGCAUCGAGUUCCUGCUACCUAAUUGGCUGAUUAGAUAUUUACAUUAAUGAGAAGGUGUACCUAGCAAAAUGGCCACUGUAGCUCCAAAACAUAAAAACUAACUGCUGGGAGAUAAGUCACGUACUUCAUUUUCACUUUUAGCGAGAAGCGCAUAUAUGACAUGGGAGUGUCUGACUUAUGCAGUUCAUUUAUUUUUACAUAUUAACCUGUAAUGAAUUAUUUAAACAAACAGGAAUGCUCAAUCAAACAAUAUACUUACAAGAUUUCUCAAAUACUACUGAAAUACACAACAGCCACUGAGUUUAUCUUGGUACAUGUGUAAUGCCCUUGUUAAGAAUAUGCUUUAUUGUAUUCCUACUGCUAUGCUGGUAGGUAUUUUGUUUCAGCUACUUUUCUGCUAAACACAGUGUGUUCUAUUAAUUAAGCUUCAUAGACCAGUGUUUUGGUUUCUAAGUCGUUUGCUCAGCUUUGGAAUGUUGUGUCAGCUGAGUGGGUUUAUCAUGGUAACAUGCUGUAACAUUCAUUCCAGUGUGAUGUCAUGGAACAAUUUGGGAGAGCUGGGCAGGAUCAAAUUUCUGAAGGACAGUGGGCUGGUUUUGGUUCUUUGUUUGUAGGAGGUACAAAGCGGAGCACAAGGGAAGACACUUGCUGAAUACCGCUCGAAGGACAGACGCCGUUGUAAGAAGUGCUUAGUACAGAUCAAUGGCUCCAAGCAGGGAAUGCCAAUACUCCUGAGUUAGCCAGUUCGUUCGAGAUGGUCUUCGAGAGAAGUUCAAACUGUGGUUGGUUCCCCUACAUGCAGAACGUGGGUUCAGCGUGCAAGUAAUCAAAGUGACACAUCCUGGCCACUCCAGAAAUGAGCUCCAACGUUCAUGUGCACAUUUAGACUGGUUUAAUUGUAAUGGGCACUUUUUCUUUUGUCCAUUAACUGUUUGUUAAAUUUGAAAUAUCUAAAAUAUACUUCCACUUCAAUUUUA
Long non-coding RNA from Hypanus sabinus (Atlantic stingray), 1982 nucleotides. RefSeq lists it as uncharacterized. Lineage: Eukaryota; Metazoa; Chordata; Chondrichthyes; Myliobatiformes; Dasyatidae. The record is from RefSeq and is a predicted model, not a curated record. The transcript has 2 exons.